AAUAGAUACCCUGGUAGUCCACGCCGUAAACGAUGGAUGCUAGCUGUUAGGAGUAUCGACCCUUCUGGUAGCGAAGCUAACGCGUUAAGCAUCCCGCCUGGGGAGUACGGUCGCAAGAUUAAAACUCAAAGGAAUUGACGGGGACCCGCACAAGCGGUGGAGCGUGUUCUUUAAUUCGAUGAUAAGCGAAGAACCUUACCAGGGCUUGACAUCCUUGGAAUUUCUGCGAAAGCAGAGAGUGCCUUUUGGAACCAAGUGACAGGUGUUGCAUGGCCGUCGUCAGCUCGUGUCGUGAGAUGUUUGGUUAAGUCCACCAACGAGCGCAACCCUUAUGAUUAGUUGAAUUUUUCUAAUUAGACUGCCUCGGUAACGGGGAGGAAGGAGGGGAUGAUGUCAGGUCAUUAUUACCCUUACGUCCUGGGCUAGAAACGCGCUACAAUGGCUGGUACAAAGGGCUGCCAACCCGCGAGGGGGAGCAAAUCCCAUCAAAGCCAGUCCCAGUUCGGAUUGCAGGCUGAAAUUCGCCUGCAUGAAGUCGGAAUCG
RNAcentral lists this ribosomal RNA (544 nucleotides) under uncultured bacterium. Its description in RNAcentral is "bacterial SSU rRNA". It matches the Rfam family "Bacterial small subunit ribosomal RNA", at positions 777 to 1334 of the family's 1533-position model. The record is from RNAcentral.